GAGGGAGAUCCCCCACACUGGUACUGAGACACGGACCAGAACUCCUACGGGGAGGCAGCAGUGAGGAAUAUUGGUCAAUGGAGGCAACUCUGAACCAGCCAUGCCGCGUGCAGGAUGACGGUCCUAUGGAUUGUAAACUGCUUUUGUACGGGAAGAAAUGUAAUUACGUGUAAUUAUUUGACGGUACCGUAAGAAUAAGGAUCGGCUAACUCCGUGCCAGCAGCCGCGGUAAUACGGAGGAUCCGAGCGUUAUCCGGAAUUAUUGGGUUUAAAGGGUUCGUAGGCGGUUGAGUAAGUCAGUGGUGAAAUCUUAUAGCUUAACUAUAAAAUUGCCGUUGAUACUGCUUGACUUGAAUAGUAUGGAAGUAAUUAGAAUAUGUAGUGUAGCGGUGAAAUGCUUAGAUAUUACAUGGAAUACCAAUUGCGAAGGCAGAUUACUACGUACUUAUUGACGCUGAUGAACG
RNAcentral lists this ribosomal RNA (464 nucleotides) under Myroides odoratus. Its description in RNAcentral is "bacterial SSU rRNA". It matches the Rfam family "Bacterial small subunit ribosomal RNA", at positions 296 to 755 of the family's 1533-position model. The record is from RNAcentral. Lineage: Bacteria; Pseudomonadati; Bacteroidota; Flavobacteriia; Flavobacteriales; Flavobacteriaceae.